UUUAUUAUAUUUAGCAGUGUCACGCAUACUACGAAUUAUACCAAUCGUAUGACAAUUAUUGGAUAAGCUUUUUAGCAGUAGUAUCUUCAUGAUUUGACAACAAUUUUAUCAUUUAUCAACAACGAGUAAAACGUGUCAAACGAGUCAUUUAAAGUUGCUCAUUAAGCAGGCAUUUGUCGUGUAAAGUUCUUUUCAAUAAACAGAACUCUUUUAAUGGCGGGUUUAUUUAUAACAGCCUGAAGUUGUAAUGCAACUCAUAAUUACAAAGAGGUUAUCGCUGUCAUGUAGGACAUACGCCAUUAAAACGCAGAACUCUGUUAGAAUUAGUCAUCGCACUGCUUUCCAGUCUAUUUCUAUGUUUAAUCUCCAAGACUCCGGUCUUUCUCUAUUUAGUUGACUAUCUGACAUUCUUCAGGGUCUUCUGAAGACUGACGUUGAAGAGGACUACGCAAGAGAGAACGAUAUACCGGAGAAGAGGAAAAUUCCAUGGACAUGGCCUGACAACUGAAAUUACGGUUUCCGUCGAGCCACCGAACGGCUAGACCCUUCUCUACGAUUCUCCGAACAUUGUCCCCACACCAGCCGCUUCCCUACCCUAUGUCUGUCAAUACAGAGGAUAGGACCGACGUGUAUAAAAUGGCGUCCAGAAUGGAUUUUACAACGAGAAAACCUUUAAGGUCGGUUGAGGACCCCUGCUGAAAAUCGAAGAGCUCGACGAACCAAGGGCGAACGUUCCGGAUUGCACGUACGUACGCGCGGAAAUACAGGGCGUCCUCGCGCAAAGACUUUGACAAGAAAACUGUUAUGUGACCUUAGCGGGAAUGACGUGUGGUAAGGUCACUACUUCUAUCGCUAUAUGGAAAUUUCAAUAUUAUUGACUCUGCGUUUCCUGCUUGAUACAAACAAAAAGAAUACGAUGCCAGAUUCACAUAGAGGAAAUGCAAGGUCCGUAUCUUGAUUCUGUGCAUUGCACCAGGGACGUACCCAGUGGCGCUUGGUUUCUGGUUCCCUUUAUCUACUUAACGUACGACGCAGCUUUUCUCGCCCAAUUAAAACAACAAUACCGAAGUAAUUGGAGGCAAUUGUCUGGAUCUCAAUUAAAUAUUCAGACACGUGUGACCCGAUGAGGUAAUGGGGAUAAUGAGAAUGACGCCAGGUCGUGUGUUGGCCAUGUUUACGCGUUCGUCGCUAUCGAGUAUACACAAGCGUGAAAAAUGCAUACAAAAGGGACGGCGAACAAAAAUGUAAGAUAAUAAUCAAGAAACAUUUUUUUUACAAUUUUUAAUAAGCAACGAGUUGUAUGGUUGACAUGUAUAUUUAUUUCAACAGAAGCUAAUUGGAUAUCAGGAUUGGAAUAAGGCACUAUGCUAUUUAAUAAAUCGUUGUUCAUCAAAGGACGAUGCUUUUCAAGAGGCACAACGUAGAAUCAAACACCCCUUUCCCUCUACAAUAUAUCCUGUAUCAAUGACUACCUAAGGGAUAAUCUAGGGAAUCUAAUAGCAUCUAAAUCAAUACCAGCGAGUACCAUAUUCCAGAGGCAAGAUGUGUACCAAUACGAAAAAAUUCUGUCAACCGUGCACGGUAUUCACGGGUUAAGUUUCCUAUCGUCAAACGAAAAUUCACAGGGCUGGAAUACUCCAUAGAAAAAGCAUUGUUAUACAUACAUAUACAGGAAGGGUUACCAGAGACUGCAAGGGAGAAACGUAAAAUAUUUGGACCAAAGUUACAUAGCCAAUACCAUCGACUAUCUGGUAUAUGCAUAUUAUACACACAAUAAGAUAUCCGCCUGAGGGUAUCGAGUCUGGUGUUUCUGCUACGUAUAUACAUAUAUAUAGCAGGUAGCGGUUGGCUGUUCCCUAACGGCAAGGGAAAAGUACCAGAAGCAUCAGCCUCUCAAAACUUCCAUAGAAAUUUCGUUUUCCCUCUGCAAGGGGGGUUUCGCUCUCUCUCUCUCUCUUUCUUUGUUCCUGGUAAUACCCGAGCGCGGAGCACAGAACGACAUAUGGUGACAAAUAUGGCGUCACUUUGCAUAGCAGUUGACGCAAACUAUUUCAUAGCAUACAUGCAACAUAGUUGAGCGAUAACGUCACUCUCCAUUAUUCGUAACGUUCACUAAAAAUGAGACUGGUACGAAUCCUGUCUGUCCGCGUCCCUGCGAUUCUACGCGUACAUUAUUUCGAUUAUUUCUUUCCGUAGGUAUAUCGCUCCCGACGUACGGCAAAGUAUUGUCUCUACCUGUCAAUUUGCUUCGUUGGCUGUCCGCGAAUCUCGUGACUUGCAGGAAACCUAACCAAAAGUGAAUGCUAUUUCUAUUUACGUAUACGGGAUUACUGUGGGAAAUCGAAUCUGUGAAUACACCCCGUGGCAAAUUCUCAGACCGUCCGAUUGAGCCGUAUCAAGUAAUUGAACGUGCCAGUUCGACCCGCUGGGAAUAUAUUAGUGGUACCUAUGCUAGAAGACGGGGAAUGAUCAUGGAUACGCGAAUAGAUCCGAACGAACCGGUCUCUCUGCUUAUCCCCUUUCACGCUGUCGCCUAGGCUAGAGCAAGAUCUUAACGGCGAGAAAGUUUAUUCGCGAAUGUGUCUCUCUUUCUGUAUUCCAUAAAUCUCACAGAGACGGACGGCAGUAUAGCGCUCGCACAGUUUUUCCAGCUACUCGCACUGUGUACGGCCAAAGUAUAUAAUUGGCACUGCAGCGCAGGACAGUGAAAACCCUCGUAGGCUGGAUCGCGCACGUACCCGUUUGCGGAAACGGAUAAAAGAUUCCUGAUCGCUUAUAAUUUAAUUUUACCAGGAUUAUCGGGAAGGAGUUCGACAAGUUAAUAUUGACGGAUGAUUAUUUUUAACCUGUGCAUCGACAAGGACUUAUAUCUAUGCAAUUUAAAAAAAUCUUGUAUUAGCAUCAGUCGCAAAGUGAAUGAUGAGUCAUCAUUAAACCAUAUAUUACCGUUAUAUCCAGAUUUAAAAAAAGAAGCCGCCAUUGUCAAGUCAGUGUGUGAUGGUUAUUUUAACGUGUAAUUCUACGAUACUAAUACUUCAUAGAGGUACAUUGACGGGGACUUCGUUACCAUUAAAAAGCUACAUAUAGUAUGUUUAACGAGGUGAUAUAUAUGCUAGCCAGUAUGGUUAAAGCCGUCGCUCUUGGAAUCGCGAGUGGGCGACAAGCGACUCUGCCUUUGGCCUAGCGUGGGUUAAAGAGAAAUCAGCCGAAACGAGAACGACGAGUUGACAAGCGUAUGUAUGACUAUAUUAUAUAUGAGCCUCUACUUCUACGAUUGUCUUUCACGUAUCGCUUAUGAGUAGGGAUCGACGUUAGAAAACCUAUUGUGUACCUACGGGUAGAGGAACGACAAGGAAGCGUUGAUAGUUUUAGAGGACACAAAAAAUAUCUACGUCAUACUCCUAACAGGAAGUAAAUGUCACUUCCGUGAAUGAAAAGACGGAAGUCCGGAGUAUUUACUCCGUGGCUAAAUUUUCAGAAAAUUAUGCAUGGUUUCGCAUCGACCGAACCGACCACCUGUCCAUGGCGAUGGUUAGUACGGGGAUGCGCGCGCACGUGAAAUUAACAAAGCCCAGAAAGGGAAGAGUCGCCAUUGAGUAAUAGCGGGGACAACGGUACUGGUAUAAGGGAUAAAUAGUUUACGCAUGAGUGACGCAGUGGGGUACACAUGGAUUACAAUUGGUGGCUGUGGAUUUCUGGAGAUGCAUGGUCAGAGAAAUUAAGGGAAACCAAGAUGGGAAGAGUCGAUGGGUCGAUUCGAACCGUUGGUUCUGGCGAGUCUCUUUGAUGGCAGAGCGAUAAUUUUGUUUGAGGCGAAUGUAUUUUCGUGCGUCUGUUGCCGGCACCAACGGACACUCAGCAGAGUUCAAUGACUGGCACAGAAAAGGAACGCCGCCAUCUUACCGGGAGAUAUGCACGCGCGAUAAUAUUUCAUUUAAAAAAGAAAAGGACCGAAUGCUGUGUCUCAAAAUAUGAUUACGACGUUUUUACUCGUCCGUCUUAGCCACUGUUGUCACUUUUUAUAUUUUAUCCACACGUAUCCGAACUAUUAAUUCGGUAUCUGACUCACUAUAGUUUCUUCUAAUCAAUGUGGAAACUUUCUAGAUUCUCUACAAGCAUAUUUCGAUCUCUAUACUGCAGGAGGGAAUCUGGAAACCGUAAGGGACUUCUUCCUAGUUACCUUUAAUGUUCUUCAAAUAGAGGACCCAUUAACUUUACUUUUUAUACACAAUUUCGCAAGCCCAUAAACGUUAAACGUGAUCCAGGGUUCAUUUAUAUACACCUGAUACUGUACAAUAUCAUUUUGGAGGUUAUGUACGUUACGCUCAGUACGUAUAAACAUUAAUAACGUUUUAUAUAGCUCUCUCAAGUAUCGUGGAACGAACAUAGGCCUGGUUGACCUUCGGGAGCCGUUGAGAGAGCAGAAGGCGAAAACGAAAUUGUUUGCAGCUGACCAACGAGAAAUCGUCAUCACUCACUCAUACUUUUCCUAAUGAUAUUAUCAUUAACUAUUUAAGAAAUUUGCACAAAAAAGGAGUUAAUAUCAGCAAUUUCAUUAAUUAUUGAUAGUAACGGAAUAAGACUUCGUAUGAAACUAGCGGACGUGUCCCUUUAAGACUGCGGAGCGACAUGCGCAAGAGGAGCCCUUUGCCUUUGUUCUUUAGUUUGGGCUGCCCUAAGAGAGGCCGGACUCGCAUCACCAAGUCGAACCGACUAACCCACUUCCCCUUUCGAAAAUAAUCAGGCGUUCGUUCUUCUCGCUGCCAAGAAGAACAUUGCAAAAUUUUGUUCGUGACAUCGCUCGCCUACGUCUGUGACCGUCUAAAUGUCUAUGAUAAUGAGAAGCAGCUUCGAUACUACUAAAGGACACAAAGGAAUUGAUUGACUUUACGAAUCAGUACUUUUCUUGGACGAUCUCUUUUCUUGUACACUAAUAAAUUGAUGUUUUAGAAUUUUUUCAUUACACUAUUUAAAUUAUGUGGCUGUUUUGCUAAAACAUUCUAUACCCAUGAUUUUUACCAGAAUGUCUUUCACACUACCGUGCCAACUUUUAAAUUUAUGAAAUUAUUUCGCUUUUUGUUUAAAUCGUAAAACUGUGUAAGCCUGUGGGAUAUAUAUGUAUAAUUUAUGAGCGGUGAGAAUGACGCUUGAAUUAUCGAAGAUAUUUUUAAAGAGAAAAUUAGAUUUCAUACAUUUAAUUAAAAAAAAAUACACGUAAAAUGUUAACGGAUUUUUAUGAAGACAUUAAGUUCCUUUGUUAAUUUUCGGGACUCCUUGUUGUUUGACAACAAGAAUCGGCCACCGGUAAAAUGGCGGUGAGUGCUAUUCGCUGUGUAUGUAUAAUAUACCAAGGGUAUAAACUAACAAAUGUGUAAAAAGAUAAAAUACACAAAAAUAAGCUAAAAUCAAGGACCUAAAACAAUAAUUGU
Cephus cinctus (wheat stem sawfly) is the source of this 5429-nucleotide long non-coding RNA. RefSeq lists it as uncharacterized. NCBI's taxonomy places the organism in Eukaryota, Metazoa, Arthropoda, Insecta, Hymenoptera, Cephidae. The record is from RefSeq and is a predicted model, not a curated record. The transcript is spliced from 3 exons.